This 291-nucleotide unclassified non-coding RNA is filed under the name Ceriporiopsis sp. Its description in RNAcentral is "partial contains 5.8S ribosomal RNA, internal transcribed spacer 2, and large subunit ribosomal RNA". The stretch from base 1 to 52 matches the Rfam family "5.8S ribosomal RNA", at positions 103 to 154 of the family's 154-position model. RNAcentral also lists the same sequence under 1 other name. The record is from RNAcentral. Lineage: Eukaryota; Fungi; Basidiomycota; Agaricomycetes; Polyporales; Meruliaceae.
AACGCACCUUGCACCCUUUGGUAUUCCGAAGGGUACGCCUGUUUGAGUGUCGUGAAUUCCUCCUCCCACUCCAUCUUUUGCGGAUGCGAGCGGUGGGGGACUUUGGGAGCCUUUGCGGAUUCCGAAGGGACCCGCUCUCCUUGAAUGCAUUAGCGAAGCCCGUCUUUGGGCCUCGGUGUGAUAGACAUCUACGCCGGGUCCAUCGAUGAAGGAUCGCUUCCAACCCGUCCCGCGAGGGACAGCGUCUUCGAACUUGACCUCAGAUCAGGUGGGACUACCCGCUGAACUUAA